Molecule: small nuclear RNA, 166 nt
Organism: Suncus etruscus (white-toothed pygmy shrew)
Lineage: Eukaryota; Metazoa; Chordata; Mammalia; Eulipotyphla; Soricidae
Product: U1 spliceosomal RNA
Exons: 1
Source: RefSeq, a predicted model, not a curated record
AUACUUACCUGGCAGAGGAAACACCAUGAUCAUGAACAUGAUUUUCCAGAGCAAGGCUUACUCAUUGCUUUUUAAGUAUGCUGACUCCUGCGAUUUCCCCAAAUGUGGAAAACUUAACUGCACAAUUUGUGGUAGUGGGGGACUGUGUUCUUUGUGCUUUCCCCAG